This 468-nucleotide ribosomal RNA is filed under the name uncultured bacterium. RNAcentral describes it as "partial 16S ribosomal RNA". It matches the Rfam family "Bacterial small subunit ribosomal RNA", at positions 28 to 507 of the family's 1533-position model. The record is from RNAcentral.
GACGAACGCUGGCGGCGUGCUUAACACAUGCAAGUCGAACGGAAAGGCCCUGCUUUUGUGGGGUGCUCGAGUGGCGAACGGGUGAGUAACACGUGAGUAACCUGCCCUUGACUUUGGGAUAACUUCAGGAAACUGGGGCUAAUACCGGAUAGGAGCUCCUGCUGCAUGGUGGGGGUUGGAAAGUUUUGGCGGUUGGGGAUGGACUCGCGGCUUAUCCGCUUGUUGGUGGGGUAGUGGCUUACCAAGGCUUUGACGGGUAGCCGGCCUGAGAGGGUGACCGGCCACAUUGGGACUGAGAGACGGCCCAGACUCCUACGGGAGGCAGCAGUGGGGAAUAUUGCACAAUGAGCGGAAGCCUGAUGCAGCAACGCCGCGUGCGGGAUGACGGCCUUCGGGUUGUAAACCGCUUUCGCCUGUGACGAAGCGUGAGUGACGGUAAUGGGUAAAGAAGCACCGGCUAACUACGUG